This is a long non-coding RNA of Coregonus clupeaformis (lake whitefish), 2809 nucleotides long. RefSeq lists it as uncharacterized. The record is from RefSeq and is a predicted model, not a curated record. The transcript is spliced from 3 exons. NCBI's taxonomy places the organism in Eukaryota, Metazoa, Chordata, Actinopteri, Salmoniformes, Salmonidae.
GUGAUAUACAGACGUGCACAGUUGUUUGAUUUGAAGUAAUUUACAUACAUCUUUCAUCACCUUGGACAUGAACACUGUACCUUGGUCCGACAGGAUCUCUUGGGGUAAACCUACCCUGGAAAACAUAUGUAGCAGCUCUCUAGCGAUGUUCUUGCUGUUGGCUCUAUGCAGGGGAAUAGCCUCGGGAUACCUGGUGGCAUAAUCCACUACGACCAGUAUAUGUUGAAAACCUUUUGCCGACCGUGGUAUGGGUCCAAUUAAAUCCAUAGCAAUUCUAUCGAAUGGCGUGUCUAUCACUGGCAAUGGGAUUAAGGGAUUUCGUAAAUCAGGGAGGGGUGAGGUUCUCUGACAGUCAGGACACCCCUGACAAUAGCUUAUCACAUCCGCAUAUACCCCUGCCAGAAGAAGCGUUUUAACACCCGUUCUUGUGUUUUUUCUCUCCGUAAAUGUCCUCCCAACAAGUGGCUAUGGGCCAGGUUCAGCACUGUCCGCCGAAAAGGGGUUGGAACCAACAGCUGCUCCACUGUGACGUCAUUGGACUUCGUCACCUGGUAUAAGAGAUUGUUUCUCAUGGAAAAAUGGGGAAAGGUGUGUACAUGAGCAUGAUUUUCAGGUACACCUUCUAUUACCUUGACAUUCCGUCUGGCGUUCUGUAGUGUGGGGUCUUCCAGCUGAGCCGUACCAAACCUUCCCCUAUACUGUGUUAACUUGGGAGGAAAAAUCUCAUUGGCAUAAGAAUUUCCAGGCCCCUCGCCCUGCGCUUCCUGUUCCUCCUCUUCCACCAUUUCUGGCCCAUUUAUACCCACUGGAUUUCCUGCCUCUUCGUCGUUUGCUCCACCAUCUUCUCCCAGGAGAACUCGAGUGUCGGCUACGGGAGUCGGGCAGGUAAGUACCAAAUUGAUAAUUUUCCUUUCAUAGGUCAGGGAGUUCUUUGGUAGCGGUUUCUUUUCACUGGAAAAUGUAAAAUGGUACCUAGCAUGCCCUAUUACUGGCACAGCCAACUCCUUUGUCCGGUAGUCCUUUCCACAAUUCUUGAAAAUAUGGACAGUCGCGACCCAGUAGCAUGGGAUAUGGUAGGUUCUCAAUCAACCCUAGGUUACCUCUGAACCGCCCUCUGGUGGUGUUAAUCUCUACAUCUGCGGUUGUAUAAGUUUUGGUGUCCCCGUGUACACAGGUGAUGUCCAUGGUUGGAGCGGUAGUCCUCAGUGGCUGGGUUAAUAGUGAAGGCAUGAUGAGGGAGACCAUGCUCCCAGAGACUAGAAGAGCAUCAACUCCUUUCCCUUGGACUGUACCCGACGGAGGUACGGUGGGUGGCGGUGGGCUUGGACAUGGGUAGAAAUGACAUGGCAGUGGUGUAGAUUAGAAAUGUUGACCUGCAUGAAUUCCUCCUUCUUGGGACAGUUCCAUGCGAUGUGUCCUAUUUCACCACAACGGUAGCACUCCUGGGGGUCGGUAUCCACCCCUCUAUUCCUCGUCUUUGCUUCAGCUUGGAAAACCGGGUACUGGCGCCCACGUUCCCCAUCCGCUCUUUGGAUUCUUGCUUUCCAAACCCGGGGAGUCUGCAGUUGAGAUGUCUUUCUUCCUCCUCUUUGAGGCCUCCGUUUUCCUGGGUGGUUCUGUUUAGCUGACUGGGUUUGAGCAGUUCUUCCGUUGCUCGACAUCUCUCAACGAGGUCCACCACUCCGUCCGCUAUGGUGGGACUGCCCAGGCUGACAAUCUUCUUUAACUCGUAAGGUAAGGCUCGGAUGUAGUGGUCAAUCACUAUUCUUUCCACGAUGUCCCCAGUACUGAGGGUUGCGGGCUCUAGCCAUUUUUUUGCUAGGUGGACCAGAUCAAACAUCUGUGACCAGGGUGCCUUCUCGGGCUGAUUUGUCCAAGUGUGGAACUGCUGUGCCCUCAAAGAGACAGUGACUCCCAACCGUGCUAAUAUUUAGUUAUUCAGUGUGUCAUAGUCAUUGGCUUCCGUUGCUUCCAGAUCAGACCACACCUGUUGUGCGUCCCCACAAAGAAAUGGAGCCAGUAUUCCUGCCCAUUUUAUCUGUGACCAUGCCUCUCGUUCUGCCGUGCGCAUAAAUGUCUUGAGGAAAGCCUCAACGUCAUCAUCCGGCUUCAUUUUCUGCAGAUACCGAGUGGCCACAAUGGGUAGACCAGCGGUCUGUUGAGCCAUUUUCACAGCAGUGAUUUCAGCAGUUAUCUUUCGCCAGUCCAUAUUCAUCUGCAGUUGACACUUCCUUUGUUCCUCCAAUAACAAGUGAUUGGUUUCCGCUUGCUGCCGAUUGGCUUCUUGUUGCAGGUUAUUGGAAGUGACUAAUUGCUUCAACAGAUCUUCCAUGGUUGUCUAUCCUUAAACAACCCCCCCAAAAAAUUGGUGUGGCUGUAUGUGUAUCCUCACUACCUUGCCCGCAUUCUCUACCAAUGUGGCGGUUUCGGCACCAAGAUCUUUGUAAGGCAGGGUUUACACAUACAAACACAUGCCACCAGUCCAGGUGAAGGGUUCAACCGGUUUAUUACUGUCAUGUUUUGGCAGCGUUCCUGACAUACCAAUCUCAAAACAGACAGAGUAAACACUUCAUCACCAGUGGACGGUCCUCCAAUCUUGGUCUUUGAAACUGCUACAAUAUCAUAAGGAAAGACAUGCACAAGUAAUAUAAUAUCAAUAAAUCAAGAACUUUAUUGAAAUAACUUUAUUGAGGGGAAUACAUUGUCUCACUCAAGCCUAAAAAACUAAGUGCAAGUUACAUCGAAAUUGGAAUUACAAAAUAUGAUAAGAAUACAGCAUAUACAGUGGGGAAAAAAAGUAUUUAGUCAG